UAGGGAAUCUUCGGCAAUGGGGGCAACCCUGACCGAGCAACGCCGCGUGAGUGAAGAAGGUUUUCGGAUCGUAAAGCUCUGUUGUAAGAGAAGAACGUGUGUGAGAGUGGAAAGUUCACACAGUGACGGUAACUUACCAGAAAGGGACGGCUAACUACGUGCCAGCAGCCGCGGUAAUACGUAGGUCCCGAGCGUUGUCCGGAUUUAUUGGGCGUAAAGCGAGCGCAGGCGGAUUAAUAAGUCUGAAGUUAAAGGCAGUGGCUUAACCAUUGUUCGCUUUGGAAACUGUUAAACUUGAGUGCAGAAGGGGAGAGUGGAAUUCCAGGUGUAGCGGUGAAAUGCGUAAAUAUAUGGAGGAACACCGGUGGCGAAAGCGGCUCUCUGGUCUGUAACUGACGCUGAGGCUCGAAAGCGUGGGGAGCAAACAGG
Molecule: ribosomal RNA, 429 nt
Filed under: bacterium
Lineage: Bacteria
Description: partial 16S ribosomal RNA
Rfam family: Bacterial small subunit ribosomal RNA
Source: RNAcentral